UAACCUACGGGAGGCAGCAGUGGGGAAUAUUGCAUAAUGGGGGGAACCCUGAUGCAGCGACGCCGCGUGAAGGAAGAAGUAUUUCGGUAUGUAAAGCUCUAUCAGCAGGGAAGAAGAUGACGGUACCUGAAUAAGAAGCCCCGGCUAACUACGUGCCAGCAGCCGCGGUAAUACGUAGGGGGCAAGCGUUAUCCGGAUUUACUGGGUGUAAAGGGAGCGCAGACGGCAGUGCAAGUCUGGAGUGAAAGCCCGGGGCCCAACCCCGGAACUGCUCUGGAAACUGUGCGGCUAGAGUACUGGAGGGG
RNAcentral lists this ribosomal RNA (305 nucleotides) under uncultured bacterium. RNAcentral's name for it is "bacterial SSU rRNA". It matches the Rfam family "Bacterial small subunit ribosomal RNA", at positions 333 to 657 of the family's 1533-position model. The record is from RNAcentral.